AAAUUGAAGAGUUUGAUCAUGGCUCAGAUUGAACGCUGGCGGCAGGCCUAACACAUGCAAGUCGAGCGGAAACGAGUUAUCAGAACCUUCGGGGAACGAUAACGGCGUCGAGCGGCGGACGGGUGAGUAAUGCCUAGGAAAUUGCCCUGAUGUGGGGGAUAACCAUUGGAAACGAUGGCUAAUACCGCAU
This 190-nucleotide ribosomal RNA is filed under the name Vibrio parahaemolyticus. RNAcentral describes it as "partial 16S ribosomal RNA". It matches the Rfam family "Bacterial small subunit ribosomal RNA", at positions 1 to 174 of the family's 1533-position model. The record is from RNAcentral. Lineage: Bacteria; Pseudomonadati; Pseudomonadota; Gammaproteobacteria; Vibrionales; Vibrionaceae.